AGAGUUUGAUCCUGGCUCAGGACGAACGCUGGCGGCGUGCCUAAUACAUGCAAGUCGAACGCUUCUUUUUCCACCGGAGCUUGCUCCACCGGAAAAAGAGGAGUGGCGAACGGGUGAGUAACACGUGGGUAACCUGCCCAUCAGAAGGGGAUAACACUUGGAAACAGGUGCUAAUACCGUAUAACAAUCGAAACCGCAUGGUUUUGAUUUGAAAGGCGCUUUCGGGUGUCGCUGAUGGAUGGACCCGCGGUGCAUUAGCUAGUUGGUGAGGUAACGGCUCACCAAGGCCACGAUGCAUAGCCGACCUGAGAGGGUGAUCGGCCACAUUGGGACUGAGACACGGCCCAAACUCCUACGGGAGGCAGCAGUAGGGAAUCUUCGGCAAUGGACGAAAGUCUGACCGAGCAACGCCGCGUGAGUGAAGAAGGUUUUCGGAUCGUAAAACUCUGUUGUUAGAGAAGAACAAGGAUGAGAGUAACUGUUCAUCCCUUGACGGUAUCUAACCAGAAAGCCACGGCUAACUACGUGCCAGCAGCCGCGGUAAUACGUAGGUGGCAAGCGUUGUCCGGAUUUAUUGGGCGUAAAGCGAGCGCAGGCGGUUUCUUAAGUCUGAUGUGAAAGCCCCCGGCUCAACCGGGGAGGGUCAUUGGAAACUGGGAGACUUGAGUGCAGAAGAGGAGAGUGGAAUUCCAUGUGUAGCGGUGAAAUGCGUAGAUAUAUGGAGGAACACCAGUGGCGAAGGCGGCUCUCUGGUCUGUAACUGACGCUGAGGCUCGAAAGCGUGGGGAGCAAACAGGAUUAGAUACCCUGGUAGUCCACGCCGUAAACGAUGAGUGCUAAGUGUUGGAGGGUUUCCGCCCUUCAGUGCUGCAGCUAACGCAUUAAGCACUCCGCCUGGGGAGUACGACCGCAAGGUUGAAACUCAAAGGAAUUGACGGGGGCCCGCACAAGCGGUGGAGCAUGUGGUUUAAUUCGAAGCAACGCGAAGAACCUUACCAGGUCUUGACAUCCUUUGACCACUCUAGAGAUAGAGCUUCCCCUUCGGGGGCAAAGUGACAGGU
This 1061-nucleotide ribosomal RNA is filed under the name Enterococcus faecium. RNAcentral describes it as "bacterial SSU rRNA". It matches the Rfam family "Bacterial small subunit ribosomal RNA", at positions 8 to 1039 of the family's 1533-position model. The record is from RNAcentral. Lineage: Bacteria; Bacillati; Bacillota; Bacilli; Lactobacillales; Enterococcaceae.